RNAcentral lists this ribosomal RNA (433 nucleotides) under uncultured bacterium. RNAcentral describes it as "partial 16S ribosomal RNA". It matches the Rfam family "Bacterial small subunit ribosomal RNA", at positions 29 to 507 of the family's 1533-position model. The record is from RNAcentral.
AACGAACGCUGGCGGCAUGCCUAACACAUGCAAGUCGAACGAGACCUUCGGGUCUAGUGGCGCACGGGUGCGUAACGCGUGGGAACCUGCCCUUAGGUUCGGAAUAACUCCCCGAAGGGGGUGCUAAUACCGGAUAAUGUCUUCGGACCAAAGAUUUAUCGCCUUUGGAUGGGCCCGCGUUGGAUUAGCUAGUUGGUAGGGUAAAAGCCUACCAAGGCGACGAUCCAUAGCUGGUCUGAGAGGAUGAUCAGCCACACUGGGACUGAGACACGGCCCAGACUCCUACGGGAGGCAGCAGUGGGGAAUAUUGGACAAUGGGCGAAAGCCUGAUCCAGCAAUGCCGCGUGAGUGAUGAAGGCCUUAGGGUUGUAAAGCUCUUUUACCCGGGAUGAUAAUGACAGUACCGGGAGAAUAAGCGCCGGCUAACUCCGUG